UACGUAGGGGGCGAGCGUUGUCCGGAGUUACUGGGCGUAAAGCGCACGCAGGCGGUCUCUUAAGUUUGGAGUGACAGUUGGUGGCUUAACUGCCAAAGUGCUUCGAAAACUGAGAGACUUGAGGGCUUCAGAGGGACACGGAAUUCCGGGUGGAGUGGUGAAAUGCGUAGAGAUCCGGAGGAACACCAAAGGCGAAGGCAGUGUCCUGGGGAGUACCUGACGCUCGAGGUGCGAAAGCCAGGGGAGCGAACGGG
This 254-nucleotide ribosomal RNA is filed under the name uncultured bacterium. RNAcentral describes it as "partial 16S ribosomal RNA". It matches the Rfam family "Bacterial small subunit ribosomal RNA", at positions 524 to 776 of the family's 1533-position model. The record is from RNAcentral.